AUCAGACUCACCAACUUAGAGGUCUCCCUUGUUACCUCACUUCAGCUUCCCAGAUGAGUCUCUCUCUAGGACCCUUCUUCCAUUCCCUUCUCUCUGCCAUCUGUUGUUUCUCUUUUGUAGUCUCUCCCUAUUUCUUCUGGGUUUUUUUCUUCUUUUUUUCAAGAGCUAAUUUUGGGCUCCGUUCCCCUUUAAAUUCUUCCAGCCGUUUAAAUUCUUUCUCAGCAAGCACUCUCUUCUUUCUCCCUUCACACAUGCUGCUCUUUCUUUAUGUUUUGAUUCGGGUCCCUCUCUGCUCCAUCUGGGUAUCCCAGCCCCUUUCUUUCCUAGAACUCGUUGCUAAGAAUGAAAACAGCAGGGAGGAUAGAUCCUGAUGAGGCCACAAAGCCUGUCAAGUUUCAAAAAGAGAAAACCAGGAUCCCUGCACAUCAGUUACAUGAUGGGAGGCUGCAAAGUUUGAUAGGAAGCAGGAAGGAAGCAUGAUGUAAGAAUAUGAAUGUGAAAGGCAAGCACUGAUGUUUGGCUAAUAAAGGCUCUGUUUUUAUACUCCCUGCUCACACAACUCGGUCUUAUACUAGCAUUGCCUCUGGCUUCAAAUGUGGCUGCUACUGUGAGGAAUUACUCCUCAUGGGGUAUGUCUACACAAGACACUACUGCACAGUGGUUACUGCACAUUUAUUUACUACUUGUAUAAGCAAAUACUAAAUAAAUGCACAGUAAGUGGAAUUACUGUGCAAUAGCACCGGUGAACAUCUUUACUCUCACAAUACCAUGCAGUAGUGUAUUAGCACGGUCCGUGCUGUGAUGCACUACUGUGCAGUAUUAUUCGGCUGUUGAGCAGUCAGUGUCUUAUGUAAAUUCACCCACAGGGAUUAUUCCUGUGAGGAAAUAUUCUAGAAUUGGGCCAGAGGGAUGGGCUACUACUUCUAGCAAACUGUAAGGGAACAGGAAGGAAUACGGAAACCUGAAUUUGUGCAUGUCAGCCAAAAUUAGGAAAUCCUGAAUCAAACUGCUCUUUGUCACUGUUAGAUUGCUUAAACCUAAAAAUAAAGGUUGUGGAUCAAUUUAGA
Molecule: long non-coding RNA, 1067 nt
Organism: Alligator mississippiensis (American alligator)
Lineage: Eukaryota; Metazoa; Chordata; Crocodylia; Alligatoridae
Exons: 3
Source: RefSeq, a predicted model, not a curated record